This 1301-nucleotide ribosomal RNA is filed under the name Cortinarius sinapicolor. RNAcentral describes it as "eukaryotic LSU rRNA". The stretch from base 628 to 1301 matches the Rfam family "Eukaryotic large subunit ribosomal RNA", at positions 1 to 656 of the family's 3401-position model. Lineage: Eukaryota; Fungi; Basidiomycota; Agaricomycetes; Agaricales; Cortinariaceae. The record is from RNAcentral.
ACCUGCGGAAGGAUCAUUAUUGAAAUAAAACUGAUGGGUUGUUGCUGGCUCUCUGCGGAGCAUGUGCACACUUGUCAUCUUUAUAUCUCCACCUGUGCACCUUGUGUAGACCUGGAUAUCUUUUCCUAAAUGCUUAGGCAUUCAGGUGUUGAGGACUGACCCCGCGGUCUGUCCUUACAUUUCCAGGCCUAUGUUUCUUCAUAUACCCCAAUAUAUGUUUUAGAAUGUAUUCAAUGGGCUUUUAUGCCUAUAAACUUUGUACAACUUUCAGCAACGGAUCUCUUGGCUCUCGCAUCGAUGAAGAACGCAGCGAAAUGCGAUAAGUAAUGUGAAUUGCAGAAUUCAGUGAAUCAUCGAAUCUUUGAACGCACCUUGCGCUCCUUGGUAUUCCGAGGAGCAUGCCUGUUUGAGUGUCAUUAAUAUAUCAAUCUCUUCAGCUUUUGUUGUUGAGCAUUGGAAGUGGGGGUUUUUCCUUUGCUGGUCUCUCUUCUGAGGUCCGCUCCCCUGAAAUGUAUUAGCGGAACAAUUUGUUAACCUUUCAUUGGUGUGAUAACUAUCUACGCUAUUGGAAUGGGAGCAGUUCAGCUUCUAAUAGUCCAUUGACUUGGACAGAUAAUCUUAUUAAUGUGACCUCAAAUCAGGUAGGACUACCCGCUGAACUUAAGCAUAUCAAUAAGCGGAGGAAAAGAAACUAACAAGGAUUCCCCUAGUAACUGCGAGUGAAGCGGGAAAAGCUCAAAUUUAAAAUCUGGCAGUCUUUUGGCUGUCCGAGUUGUAAUCUAGAGAAGUGUUAUCUGCGCUGGACCGUGUACAAGUCUCCUGGAAUGGAGCGUCAUAGAGGGUGAGAAUCCCGUCUUUGACACGGACUACCAGGGCUUUGUGAUGCGCUCUCAAAGAGUCGAGUUGUUUGGGAAUGCAGCUCAAAAUGGGUGGUAAAUUCCAUCUAAAGCUAAAUAUUGGCGAGAGACCGAUAGCGAACAAGUACCGUGAGGGAAAGAUGAAAAGAACUUUGGAAAGAGAGUUAAACAGUACGUGAAAUUGCUGAAAGGGAAACGCUUGAAGUCAGUCACGUUGUCCAGGGAUCAACCUUGCUUUUGCUUGGUGUACUUUCUGGUUGACGGGUCAGCAUCAAUUUUGACUGUUGGAAAAAAGUUGAGGGAAUGUGGCAUCUUCGGAUGUGUUUAUAGCCCUUGGUUGUAUACAAUGGUUGGGAUUGAGGAACUCAGCACGCCGCAAGGCCGGGUUUUUAACCACGUACGUGCUUAGGAUGCUGGCAUAAUGGCUUUAAUCGACCCGUCUUG